GUCAGUGAAGGAGGGAGAAUCUGUCACUUUAGAUUCUGGUGAAAUAAAAAACCCAAAUGAUUUAAAGGUGUGGUAUUUUAAUUACACUCGCAUCGCUCAAAUCAGUGGAGAUCUCCGUAAGAUCUGUACAGAUGAUCAGUGUGAUGAGAGAUUCAGAGACAGACUGAAGCUGGAUCAUCAGACUGGAUUUCUGACCAUCACAAACAUCAGAACCACAGACUCUGGACUUUAUAAACUGGAGAUUACCAGCUGCAGCAACAGGAACAUCAGUAUCACCGUCAUUAAGAGCUUCUGUGUUACUGUCAGUGGUUCAGGUCUAUCUUCAGCUGAACAGGAGUAUGUGUUGCUGCUGUUGUUCUGCUGCUUCUUGUUACAGCUGCUGGCUUAAUUGACUGUCGCAAUCUGUGAGCAAUAAAACAAGUGAAUCAUGUUGAAAACAUGUCCCCUGAUCAGAUUGAUGCUUUACCUACCAUUUAGGAUUGAUGAGGCCGAGUCUGAGGAAUCCAGUGAGACACUAACGUAACAUUAUUUGAUAUUUUUAUUGAAAGAAACAGUGAAGAGAUGAUGGGAACUGAGAGAAAAGCAUUGGAUCAUGAUACGCUCAUCACUAACAGAGAAAUAGUAUUGUCACAUUAAAAAGAUUUUAGUGUUAGGUACCAAUUAGGUACCAACUUCAUUGCUAUAAUUAAGUUUGAAAUAAUACAUUUACAAUUGCAGGCUAAAUACUUUUGAAUUCGUGCAAACAUUACUUCAGAAAACACAAACAGUAAACCAGCAAAAAAAAAAGAAAAAAAAAAAAACAUGUUCACUGCAAUAGAAAAUAGAGUGCUUGAUGUUCUUCAGUAUAGAGGUUUAUUAAAGCUGCUACUGAAAGUGAUCCAGACAAGAACAGUGCACGAUUAUCUUUGUUUCCUUUAGUACUGCUGUAAAUCAUUAAUAUUUACUUACAUGAAUAAUCAUAGAAUAUUUAUCAUCUUUAAUAUAUAAUCAUUAUAGUUAUAAACAAAAACUACCUUUUUUACAUGACUUAAGAUGAGACAAUGACAAGUUUUCAUUAAACUAGUGACGUAGGCAGAAUGUAAUUUUUGGGUGGGACUGGGCAAAAGUAAGCGGCACUAGUAGACUAACUAACAGAUGGAGUCUGACUCAAUAUGCAAGUCAUUUCAAUCUUUUUUUCUUUGAUCCUACUAAAAAAAAUAACCCAUAGAUCUCAGUAGAACACAGGCAUAGUAAAACUACCUCAUCUCUGUCUCCAUCACGAACAUGCACAUCAGUGGAGUGCAAUGUGCCCUUGUGGUCCGGUCUGCCACCAAUCUGCGAUUUCUGCCGAGGGUAGGAUAUUAAUAUUUUUGAUUGUGGAUAAUAAAAAUGUCUCCACGAUCUGCUUUUGAAGAAAUGUUGAAUUGUGUUGCAGCGCACAUUCUAUCAGCUGCAGUUCUGGCGCCUCAGAAUGAAUGUACUGCGACAUAUAGAUAGUUCACCCGAAAAUUUAAUUUCACUAACGAUAUUUAAAUUUUGGGGUGAAUUAUUU
Carassius auratus (goldfish) is the source of this 1531-nucleotide long non-coding RNA. RefSeq lists it as uncharacterized. The transcript is spliced from 3 exons. The record is from RefSeq and is a predicted model, not a curated record. NCBI's taxonomy places the organism in Eukaryota, Metazoa, Chordata, Actinopteri, Cypriniformes, Cyprinidae.